Molecule: ribosomal RNA, 422 nt
Filed under: uncultured bacterium
Lineage: Bacteria
Description: bacterial SSU rRNA
Rfam family: Bacterial small subunit ribosomal RNA
Source: RNAcentral
UAGGGAAUUUUGCGCAAUGGAGGAAACUCUGACGCAGCAACGCCAUGUGUGGGAUGAAGCAUUUCGGUGUGUAAACCACUGUCAGCAGGGAAUAAACGGCGGCUUCGGGCCGCUUUGAAUGUACCUGCAAAGGAAGCCCCGGCUAACUUCGUGCCAGCAGCCGCGGUAAUACGAGGGGGGCAAAUGUUGUUCGGAAUCACUGGGCGUAAAGGGAGCGUAGGCGGGUUCUUAAGUAAGGUGUUUAAUCCCGGGGCCCAACCCCGGACCGGCACUUUAAACUGGGAAUCUUGAAUAGUGGAGAGGUCAGUGGAAUUGGGGGUGUAGCGGUGGAAUGCGUAGAGAUCCCCAAGAACACCAGUUGCGAAGGCGGCUGACUGGACACAUAUUGACGCUGAGGCUCGAAAGCAUGGGGAGCAAACAGG